UUAUUUUUAUUAUUUUUUAUUUUUUUAUUUUACUUUAAGUUCUAGGGUACAUGUGCACAACGUGCAGGUUUGUUACAUAUGUAUACAUGUGCCACGUUGGUGUGCUGCAUUUACAUUAGGUAUAUCUCCUAAUGCUAUCCUUCCCCCUCCCACCACCCCCGGCAGGCCCCAGUGUGUGAUGUUCCCCACCCUGUGUCCAUGUGUUCUCAUUGUUCAAUUCCCACCUAUGAGUGAGAACAUGUGGUGUUUGGUUUUCUGUCCUCGUGAUAUCUGCUCAGAAUUAUGGUUUCCGGCUUCAUCCAUGUCCCUGCAAAGGACAUGAACUCAUCCUUUUUUAUGGCUGCAUAGUAUUCCAUAGGGUAUAUGUGCCACAUUUUCUUAAUCCAGUUUAUCAUUGAUAGACAUUUGGGUUGGGUCCAAGUCUUUGCUAUUGUGAAUAGUGCUGCAAUAAACAUACGUGUGCAUGUGUCUUUAUAGCAGCAUGAUUUAUAAUCCUUUGGGUAUAUGCCCAGUAGUGGGAUGGCUGGGUCAAAUGGUAUUUCUAGUUCUAGAUCCCUGAGGAAUCACCACACUGUCUUCCACAAUGGUUGAACUAGUUUACAGUCCCACCAACAGUGUAAAAGGGUUCCUAUUUCUCCACAUUCUCUCCAGCACCUGUUGUUUCCUGACUUUUUAAUGAUUGCCAUUCUAACUGGUGUGAGAUGGUAUCCCAUUGUGGUUUUGAUUUGCAUUUCUCUGAUGGCCAGUGAUGAUGAGCAUUUUUUCAUGUGUCUGUUGGCUGCAUAAAUGUCUUCUUUUGAGAAGUGUCUGUUCAUAUCCUUUGCCCAUUUUUUGAUGGGGUUGACUUUUUCUUGUAAAUUUGAGUUCUUUGUAGAUUCUGGAUAUUAGCCCUUUGUCAGAUGGGUAGAUUGUAAAAACUUUCUCCCAUUCUGUAGGUUGCCUGUUCACUCUGAUGGUAGUUUAUUUUGCUAUGCAGAAGCUCUUUAGUUUAAUUAGAUCCCAUUUGUCAAUUUUGGCAUUUGUUGCCAUUGCUUUUGGUGUUUUAGUCAUGAAGUCCUUGCCCAUGCCUAUGGCCUGAACAGUAUUGCCUAGGUUUUCUUCUAGGGUUUUUAUGGUUUUAGGUCUAAUAUUUAAGUCUUUAAUCCAUCUUGAAUUAAUUUUUGUAUAAGGUGUAAGGAAGGGAUCCAGUUUCAGCUUUCUACAUAUGGCUAGCCAGUUUUCCCAGCACCAUUUAUUAAAUAGAGAAUCCUUUCCCCAUUGCUUGUUUUUGUCAGGUUUGUCAAAGAUCAGAUGGUUGUAGAUGUGUGGUAUUAUUUCCAAGGGCUCUGUUCUGUUCCAUUGGUCUAUAUCUCUGUUUUGGUACCAGUACCAUGCUGUUUUGGUUACUGUAGCCUUGUAGUAUAGUUUGAAGUCAGGUAGCGUGAUGCCUCCAGCUUUGUUCUUUUGGCUUAGGAUUGUCUUGGCAAUGCAGGCUCUUUUUUGGUUCCAUAUGAACUUUAAAGUAGUUUUUUCCAAUUCUGUGAAGAAAGUCAUUGGAGCUUGAUGGGGAUGGCACUGAAUCUAUAAAUUACCUUGGGCAGUAUGGCCAUCUUCACAAUAUUGACUCUUCCUAUCCAUGAGCAUGCAAUGUUCUUCCAUGUGUUUGUGUCCUCUUUUAUUUUGCUGAGCAGUGGUUUGUAGUUCUCCUUGAAGAGGUCCUUCGCAUCCCUUGUAAGUUGGAUUCCUAGGUAUUUUAUUCUCUUUGAAGCAAUUAUGAAUGGGAGUUCACUCAUGAUUUGGCUCUCUGUUUGUCUGUUAUUGGUGUAUAGGAAUGCUUGUGAUUUUUGCACACUGAUUUUGUAUCCUGACACUUUCCUGAAGUUGCUUAUCAGCUUAAGGAGAUUUUGGGCUGAGACGAUGAGGUUUUCUAAACAUACAAUCAUGUCAUCCGCAAACAGGGACAAUUUGACUUCCUCCUUUCCUAACUGAAUACCCUUUAUUUCUUUCUCUUGCCUGAUUGCCCUGGCCAGAACUUCCAACACUAUGUUGAAUAGGAGUGGUGUAAAUAAUUUUAAAGUGAAAAAGGAACCCUUGGCCAGACAUGGUGGCUCACACCUGUAAUCCCAGCACUUCAGGAGGCUGAAGUGGGUGGAUCACCUGAAGUCAGGAGUUCGAGACCAGCCUGGCCAACAUGGUGAAACCCCUUCUCUACUAAAAACACAAAACUUAUCCAGAUGCAGUGGCACGCGCCUGUAAUCCCAGCUACUCGGGAAGCUGGGAUUCGCUUGAAUCCAGGAGGCAGAGGUUGCAGUGAGCUGAGAUGGUGCCACUGCACUCCAGCCUGAGUGACAGAGCAAGACUCUAUCUCAAAAGAAAAGAAAAAGAAAGAAAGAAAGAGAAAAGAAAAAGAAAAAAGAACCCUCAAAUUACGUGGAGACUGAGUUCUAGCUCCAGUAAUGGCAGGAUAAUUUAUAUCAAACAUUCUCAUAGCAACAAUUACAAAUCCAACAAAGAAUAUAUAAAUCUACUAUUUGAAGGACUACAGAAUAAGCAAAAUCAGGCAGAAACUGAAGGACAGCCUUAGGAAAGAAGGAAAUCAUGCUGCAGGAAAUCCCUGUUGUGUUAGUUUUCUGUUGCUGCAUAACAAAUUACCACAAACCUGGCCACUUAAUAUCCACUUAUUCACUCACAAUUCCAUAAGUCAGAAAGCUGGCACAGCAUGGCCAAGUUCUGUGCUCAGGGUUAUCACAAGUCUGAAAUCAAAAUGUCAGCUGGGCCAAGUCCCCACCUGGAAGCUCUGGAGAAAACUUGACUUCCAAGCUCAUUCAGGUUGUUGGCAAAAUUUACUUCCUUUCCGGUUGUAGGACUGAAGUCCCCAUUUUCUUGCUGGCUGUCAGCCAGGGACUUCUCUCAGUUUCUUUAGACCACCUUCUCACAAAGUCUCCAUCUAUAACCCAGCAACAACAUGCCAAAUCUUCCUUAUGCCUCAAAUUUGAGCUCCUCUUCUGCCACCAGCCACAGAAAACCCUCGGAGUUUUUAAAGGAUCUCACGUGAGUAUUGGGCCCACCAAAAUAAUCCCCCAUCUUAAUGUCAACUAAUAAUUUAACAUACUCAUGGGAAUAAUAUUAUAUUUAUUGGUGCCAAAGAUUAGGAUAUGGAAUCUCGAGGGGCCGUUCUUGGAAUUCUAUGUACUGUACCCACUUUUUCCCUGAGGUCACUGCCAUUCUACUUGGCUUGGACUGCUAGCACUGAAACAGAAAGCCACUAUCUAUUAGUCUAAGGAGUCAGAACAUGCACCACAGGCCCAGAAAAUCUAGAAAUUAAGAAUCCCAAAACAGAGUGAGCCACAGAAAGGGUACCUCAGAUAUCUGUAUAAUCCUCCACAAAUUCUUGGCUGACAGCUGAAAUGCACGUGCAAGUGGCAAAACUCCAAGGAGCUCAGAUAGAAAUAACAGUUCGAAGAAAGAACAGAAAAGAGAUUUUAGCUGACCCUCGCUGAAAGGAAGACAAAGUUUGGAGUCUGAGUUCCACCAAAUUAGAAGAGCUUUGAUGGCACUUUGGAUUUUCCACUGAAAUCCCAGAAAGGUUCCAGGACUGAAGAGUGUUUCUCAAAACUAAGGGUGAAACCACAACAGAUAUGGAAAUAACCCAAAUGUCCAUAUACAAGUGAACAGCUAAACAUAUUGCUGUAUAUUCAAACAACAAGAUACAACACAGCAUCAAAAAUGAAGUACCUACUGAUACGUCCAACAUAAUGAAUUUUUUAAACACUGUGUUGAACUAAAAAAACCACACAUAAAAAUAAUACAUGCUGUACGAUUAUACGAAGUUAUUAAACAGGCAAAGCUAAGCCAUGGUAAAUGAAAUAAUAGUCACGUAGAAGGACAUGGGGCUGGAAAGGGCACAGGGUCUUGCUUAAAAUAUGUGGCUAUAUUGCAUGUAAAGUAUGCCUCAAAAUGUAAAAAAGAAAAAUUUAACUUAUUGUACUAAAACUAAAAAUAUGCAGAUUUAUAUUGAGAAAGUAACAAAAACAAAAAUAGAGAAUAAGUAUCUGAAGUCACAUUUUUUAAUAUCAUAGCUAUAUCUAAAUUUUAAAUAGUAUUUAGGAAGCAAAGUGAGAAAGUCAAUGCAUUCCCUGUUCUCACAUGCUACCUGAGCUAACCAGCAUAGUUAGGCAUUGCUUUGAGAUGAUGCAAUUAAUCAAACAGACACAUAGGUCUCCAUAACUUGACUCAGAUACCAAGGCUUAGCAUAAAUUCUUCCUUUCCACUCUUUUCAGUUAGCUCAUCACCAACUCCCAAAUUGAACAGACGGGUAUAUCACUCAUUUUUUUUUAAUACAUUCACUCAAUUGUCAAAUAACUGUGUGUUUCCUUGUGAAGGUCAAAGUCUUCAUAGAUCUUUCUGUCAAUGUAAACCUGACACAUUUAAAAAGUCAGUAUGCAGAGCAAAAUCUAUUUGAGAUUAACAUUUUUUCAAUUCAAUUUAAUUUCCCAUGACAAGUCAUCCUGAUAUUCACAAUGUUUCCUUCAUUUCACUAAUGAGCUAAAGACAGCUUUCACAUUUAUUUCACUUCUUUCAGAAUAGGAUGCAUUUGGCAAUACCAACCAUUUAAAUAAGCAAAUGUAUAAUUCUGAAUAGGUUUUGAAAACGUUUCACCGUGGUCUCUGUCACUCAUAGACCUAGUUGGUAGUGUUUCCUUUCAACAAGUGCACAGACUGGUAAGAAAAGUUGUUACAAAUUACCAAAGGUCAAUAUGCUGCCGGCCACCCAGUCAUAUAAAUUGAUAUGUCUUCUUGUUCCAGCAAGUUAGAAGCUCAGUAAGGGCAGAGACAGGAAUCUCUUAACAAUGAGCAGUAUGUGAUUUUCACUGGAGAGGAGAGAGGCUGCAUGUGUGCCCAAAUCCAUCCUCAAAGCAUACCGGAGAACGGUAUGAAACAGCAUAUUUAACAGCCUAUAUUUCUCCAUCAUACAAACUAUAAAAAAUACAGCUGAAAAGUCUUCUUGGCUGGAGAAAACACAGAAUACAGCAUAAGAAAGACUAUAGGGUUAAAAGGUUUUUAUCCCUUUUAACCCUAUAGUUUGGAGGGGAUAAAAGAAAUGCCAAACAAUGUUCUCUAACGUAAUCAAGUACAGAUUCCAGGAAUUGCAAGGAAAAAAAAACAAUACCUCAGGUAUGUUUCAAAACCAAGGGCUAAAUCAAGGCAGAUAUUUCCAGCUAAAAAUAAUGUAUUGAGUAUACCCAACUCUGCUUCCUCCAGCAAGCGAUAAAUUUUAAAACAUGCAAGAAAUAAUUUAAGCAUAAGCCUCCAAGGACAAAAAGAUAACAGCAAACAGAUGUUAACAAAAUGGUAUACUGUGUUAAAAGGACGAACAAUGGUAAACAACUCAGCAGUGUAAAGAAAAUUGCAACCUAAGUGCCUGCAAAGGGCAAUGCCCACAAGAUGCCAGCCUAGUCACACGGCCAAUGAACAAAUGAUUCUCACUUCCCAAGGUACAAUAAACCAAGGCAAAACGUAUUUCCUUAUUAUAUACAGAAUACAGCAACAAUUCAGUUAUUCCACAUUUCCUACUGGUAACAAGUAAGACAACAAGCCUGAUUUCUCUUUCUGGUUGUCCACUGCUUACACAGUACUAGCUUAGGAAUAAUUUGCUUUUUUUGUUGAAGUUUGUCAUAAGAGCACUUUGCUCUAGUCACCAAGUGAUUUCAUGUAUGCAGCCUUGAAGCUAUGACACACUCUCUAGCUCACCAUUCUUUGUGUCUCUGGGAACCAGUACUUCCUAUCUCAUCUAAUACAAGCAAGACAUCUUCUUUUAUGCUUCUCUGGGCCCGAUAUUCACCCUCCUACUAGCAGUUCAAGGGCUGGGUCUCCCUUCUCAGCACUAUGGUACACUCCAAAGCAAUUAAAUGAGUUUUUUUAAAACAUUAGUAAGUUUUAUGUUCCUUUUUAUAGGGAACUCUAAGAUGCAAAUUAAAUGCCCUUACUAUAUUUUGUCCUCAAUUUGGCUGUAAAUAGACUAAUGCCAACCCUUAAGUAUCUGUGGAAAUCAAUAUUUAUCAAUACAGUUGUGCAAUGAUAGAAUCAGAUUCCAGGAAGAGCUGACAACUAGAUAACUAAGUGAAAAGUGCAUUUAUGCAUUUGAGUAUGUGUGCAUGUGCACACAUCUGUACACACAGUUGGAAGCAGAAAAGGGAGAGAAAAGGCUCAUGGAUCUCCUAGACAUCAUUUGGUAGAAGAAUAGAACAAUAAAUAAAAAAAUUUAUUAUUUCCAAGAGAGAACCAUGGCAGUUAAAGAACACAGGUAGAUAGGGAGACUUCACCAAAAGACAAGACAUCAACAGUAAGUGCAGCUACCUUGACAGGUAAAUCUCUAAAAUCAAUAGCCAAUUGUCUAAGUAAGCAGAAAACAAAGUUAGGGUUGAGUUUGCUUUCUGUCACUUAAAAGAUUUACUCUUACAUGUAGAUUUCACUCAAAUGAUGAGAGAAACCAUUCUUACUCCUCACUUAUGCCAGUAUCGUAAGUUCAUAACAAUAAGUAACAAGCUCUAAUUCAACAAAUAUCAUAUGUAUUAAUAAAAGGAACUCUGCUACAUUUUAUAUCUGAGUUGGCAGUGAGAAAGUAGUUACUAUAUCCUGUACUCCAGAGUCUCAAAGAAGAAAGUUCUUCACUUUCUAUUCAGGUUCUUCAAAUACCCUUUCCAGAAGUCUGCAUGGUCAAAACUAUGUUCACAAUAAUACCGAAAUUUUACCAUACUGACAUUUUCAGUUAUGAUACAAAAGCAAUCGUGGGUUAAACUACUGGUACCUUACCAACAAUGCCCAACCUUUUUGGCACGAGGGACUAUUCUUGUGGAAGACAAUUUUUCCACUGACAGGGGAUGGUCAGAUUCUCAUAAGGAUGUGCAACCUAGAUCCCUCACAUGUGCAGUUCACAAUAGGGAUCGAGCGCCUAUGAGAAUCUAAUGCCGCUGCUGAUAUGACAAGAGACGGAGCUCAGGCGGUAAUGCCCGCUCACCCGCCUGGCCGCUCACCUUCUGCUGUGUGGCCUGGUUCCUAACAGGCCACAGACCGGUAGGCUGCAAAUUCCCACAAACUUCAUGGCCUUUCGACGGCAUUUAUUUUAAGUUCUAGAAGCCAGAAGCCCAAAAUCCAAGUGUUGCUAACAAAGCCACAGUCCUUGCCAAUGGCUACUAGGGGAGAACCAAUUCUUUCCCUCUUUCAGCUUUUGGUGGCUCCAGACAUUCCUUGGUUUGUAGCCACAUCACUUCAAUCUCUGCCACCAUGAUCACACUGCCUCCUCCUCUUCUUCUGCGUCUUCUCCCCUUCUGUCUCUGUCUUCCCUGUGUGUCUCUCUCCCAUCAUGACACUUGUCAUUAGGUUUAGAGCCUGCCUAAUCUAAUCCAAAAUUAUCUCCUUAUCUCAAGAUUUUUAAUUAUAUCUGCAAUGACCCUUUUUCCAAUUAAGGUAAUAUUCGUAGGUUGUGAUAAUUAGGUCAUGGGUGUAUCUCUUGCAGGAGACAUUAUUCAUCUCACGACUAGUCUUUUUAAUAUUUUGUGUGACCACGUGACAACUACGCAUAAAGCACUUCUGCUGCAUAGUGAAGUUUAAUAGUUACCUUGAGGAAAAACACUUGUGAGGUUGAGUCACAAGAUCAACUACAACCUUUUUGCAUGGGCACCAUCUUUACAUGCAAGAACAAUGGACAAACUACAAGCUAAAAACAGCCUAAAAGCUACAAAACCAGUACCGUUAGCAGAGCCCUGAUGUUGCUAAGACCUGACCCUCACAGCAAAGACUUGAUGUCCUCCUGUUAGAAGAACAUCAACAUCAGACAAGACUACUGACCAUGAUGGAUCAAGACAAAAACAAGCAAACAUAUCAACAUUGUCCAAAAAACAAAAAUAACCAAAUAUCUACCUUUCCUUGCUAACAAGAACGACUACAACUUCUUUACCAAUUAAAGCUAUAGCCUCCAUUUAUUCCUUUCUCCUGAAAUACAACACUCAUUUAGAUAAACAAUAAGAGACCAUCCCACUGACCCCACAACAUCUAAUCCAGAACCAAGUCUCCUUCUCAUAACCCUCCAUCAAGUUAAAAAGCUUCUGCACAGUGAGACUGAGGCGGACGGAUCACGAGGUCAGGAGAUCGAGACCAUCCUGGCUAACACAGUGAAACCCUGUCUCUAUUAAAGAUACAAAAAAAUUAGCUGGACGUGGUGGCAGGCGCCUGUAGUCCCAGCUACUUGGGAGGCUGACGCAGGAGAAUGGCGUGGCUUUCCAUGAGUCGAGAUCAUGCCACUGCACUCCAGCCUGGGUGACAGAGUGAGACUCCAUCUCAAAAAAAAGAAAAAAAGAAAAAAAAGAAAAAACUUCUGCACAGCAAAGGAAACAAUCAAUAAAGUAAAGAGACACCCCCACAGAAUGAGAGAAAAUAUUGGCAAACUACCCAUCUGACAAAGGAUUAAUAACCAGAAUAUAGACGGAGCUGAAAGAACUCUAUAGGAAAAAAAUCUAAUAAUCUGAUCAAAAUAUGAGCAAAAGAGUUGAAUAGAUAUUUCUCAAAAGAAGACAUUCAAAUGGCAAACAGGCAUAUGAAAAGGUGCUCAACAUCACUAAUCAUCAGAGAAAUACAAAUCAAAACUACAAUGAGGUUAUCAUCUCACCCCAGUUAAAAUGGCUUUUAUCCAAACAACAGGCAAUAACAAAUGCUGGUGAGGACGUGGAGAAAAGGGAACCCUCAUACACUGUUGGUGGGAAUGUAAAUUAGCACAACCACUCUGGACAACACUUUGGAAACUCCACAAAAAAAAACUAAAAACAGAGCUACCAUAUGAUCCAGCAAUCCCACUGUUGGGUAUAUACCCCAAGGAAAGGAAAUAUAUCAGAGACAUCUGCACUCCCAAUGUUUGUUGCAACACUGGAAGCAACCUAAGUGUCCAUCAACAGAUGAAUGGAUUAAAAAAAAAAAUGAGGUACAUAUGCACAAUGGAGUACUAGUGAACCAUAAAAAAGAAUGAGAUCCAGUCAUUUGCCACAACAUGGAUGGAACUGGAAGAACAUUAUGUUAAGUGAAAUAAGCCAGGCACAGAAAGACAAACAUUUCAUAUUCUCACUUAUUAGUAGGAUCUAAAAAUCAAAACAAUUGAACUCAUGGACAGAGAGAGUAGAAGGAUGGUUACCAGAGGUUGGGAAGGGUAGUGGGGGUUGGUGCAGGGGGGAGGGGGGAGGGGGGAUGGUUAAUGAGUACAAAAAAAAAGUGGUUAGAAAGAAUGAAUAAGACCUACUAUUUGAUAGCAUAAUAGUACAAAAAAAAAGUGGUUAGAAAGAAUGAAUAAGACCUACUAUUUGAUAGCAUAAUAGGGUGACUAUAGUGAAUAGUAAUUGUUUAUUUUUAGAUAACUUAAAGAACAUAAUCAAAUUGUCUGUAACUCAAAGGAUAAAUAAAUGCUUCAGGGGCUAGAUAGCCCAUUCUCCAUAAUGUGUUAAAUUCACAUUACAUGCCUGUAUCAAAACAUCUCAUGUACCCCACAAAUAUAUGCACCUACGUACCCACAAAAAUUAAAAUGAAUGAAUGAAUAAAUAAAUAAAAACACUCCUCCUUUUCCCACUACCAAUCUGUGUGAGGCCAGAUUUUCUUAACACCUUUCAAAGAAACAUGUUGCAACAGAUUGAACUCUGAAGCUUUUAUUAGAAUCCUGCUGUAUUCAACUCUUCAGCCAGAUGUUAAAGAGAUUUGCAAAACUAAUGCUGUCACUUUCUCACUAAAUUUUUUUUAUUUUGAGACAGUUAUUUUUCAUUAACUAUUUUAUGUUAGCAUGUUAUGAGUUUAUUAUUUUAAAUUAACAAGUAUUGAAUAAAUAUCUCAGUGUUAAUGUCUGAUACAGUAAAUAUCAAUAGGUAUAACCCACAGAAACAAAAGCUCUUUGGAGCCCCUCAAUAAUUUGAGAGUUUACAGGGUUAUUGAGACUAAAAAGAGUAAGCAAAUAUAAAAUAGGACCUGGAGGGACAUGUUUUCAAACUAGACCACACAAAAUUCCCACGGUGGGAAGCAACCUAAGGAUGAGUUCAUAAUACAAAAUUAUACAAAAAAAUGGAAACAACCUAUCAUUGUGAAAAUCAACACACACAAAACACAAGAGUUUAUAUUUCCAAGACAUUUAGAUAAUAGAAUUAUGUGACGGAUACUACAAAAUAACUAAGUUUAACAUUUACUAAAGAUAUAAGAGAAUAAAUCAACAUCACAAAAAUGAGAUACUACUUUUUUUUAAGAGCAGAUUAGAAAAAGAACCAAAUAUAACUUAUUGCAAUGAAAAAUGGGCAGUGAAAUUUAAACACCAAUGCUUGGGUUAAAACCAUAAAUCAGAUACAGAAAAAGACAUCAGAGAUGAACUAGAAGAUGAAUCUGAGCAAUUAAACAGAAGAAAGCACAGAUAAAGGAAUAAAAAUAUGAAAAAGAGAUUAUACAACAUCAACAAAAUCAAAGGAAACAUAUCAAGUUGAAGUCGUGAAGGGAAAAAAAAAAAACUUGAUAAUUUUCCAGUGCUGAUGAAAGAGAUGAAUCCUCAGACACAGGAAAUAUGAAUCCCAAUCAGUGACUAUGUAUACAAAAUUUUAAAUGCAAUCAGAAAUUCAAAUUACUUCAGGAGAAUGACAAUUAGACUAGUCCAAGCUAUAGCACAUGCCAGAAGACAAUGGGAUAAUACCUUCAGAUUAACAAAGAUAACUGUCAUACCCAAUCAACAUUUCAGAGCAAAACAAAAACAUUUUCAGACAGACAAAACAAAAACAUUUUCAGACAGACAAAACAAAAACAAAACAUACUCUCACUGAAAUAACUACUAAAAUAUGGUAUUUUUAAAUACCAUAUUAAAAAUCAAAAUGCCAUUUUUAAAACGGGGCAAAAAAAAAGACGAGGAAAUAGGAUAUCCGAGGAAGAGGAUAACAACUAAUGUUGGAAGUACUUUAAAAAAUAAAACCAAAAUACGGAAUGUAGUAACAUUUAAAUUGGAAAAGUGAAUAGUGUUCCAAGGGUCUUAAAUUGUACAUGAGGUAGAAAUAUUGCUUAAUCUUAGACUUAGUUACCUCAAGUAUGCUCUUAUGACAUCAAAGAUAACCACAAAAUUUGGAUGCUUAAGAUAACCAGGCCGCAAGACAAAUUAAAAUAUGCUGCAAUAUGCAGAAACCCAAUAAAUAAGUCAGGAUACUGAUACAAACUCUUCUGUUUCACCAACUCCCACUCUUCCUCAGGACACUUCUCAUAUUGUAUAUAAUAACAAACGUCCACUUGACAUGACACAACAGUGCCAGUGUUAACUCAACUAAUAAACAAGAGAAAACCUUUUCUCCUCUCAAGAUAAAUGUAUAGAUAGAAAAAUCUAAUUCAUUCUUUCAUCCCAAAGGAACAUCCUGCUCCUCACUUUGGAAACCACAGAUACACAGCUGACCCUUGAACAACACAGGAAUUAGGGGCGCUGACUCUCCCCUCACUUCCCACCACCCCAGGCAGGCAGUCAAAAAUCCACAUGUAACUUUUGACUCUCCAAAAACUUAACCACUAAUAGCCUACUGUUGACUGGAAGUCUUAUCAAUAACAUAAACUGUUGAUUAACACAUAUUUUGUUACAUGUAUUAUAUAUCACAGUCUUACAAUAAAGUAAGCUAGAGAAAAGAAAAUGUUAUUAAGAAAGUCAUAUGGAAGAGAAAAUAUACUUACUAUUCAUCAAGUGGAAGUGGAUCAUUAUAAAGGUCUUCAUCCUGGUUGUCUUCACACUGAGUAGGCUGAACAGAAGGAAGAAGAAGGGCAGGUCUUACUGUCUCAGGGUAGCAGAGGCAGAAGAAGUGGAGGAGGUGCAAAGGGAGGCAGGAGAGGCAGGCACACUUGGGGUUACUUUUAUUGAAAAACAAAAUCCACAUUUAAGUGGACUCUCACAGUUCAAACCUAUGUUAUUCAAGAGUCAACUGUAUAUGUCCAGGAUUAUAUAGGCAGUUCCACACAUAAAACAACUCUUAAUGUACUAAAUCAUGAGUUAAUUCAGCAAGGAAAAAGCUAAGUAAAGGGUAUUCAUAACAGCAUAAGUAAAGGACAAGGGAUAAAAUAGCAGAAUCUAAGUAGGAAAACUAAAAAGUUUGAAAUUUGCAGUUGUGAACUGCUAGGGCAUAAAGCACAUCUCUCUGGGAUUGACUACUGAAAACUAAGAGGAGACAGCCUUUAUCCCCACUGUAGGUGCUAAUGCUGCCAGUAGAUCUCAGUGAAGGCAGUCUAAUCUUUUCCACCUUCCUCUCUUCAUAGUAAUCAACGUCUUAUACUCACCACAUGUUAUCAAGUCUACGAUGCCUGAAUACCUUUAUUGGAAUUGGAAAGGAGACAGGGUUUUAUUGUUUGGUCCCAGAGGAACAUGAAAUCUGACUUCUACUUCAUUGGAGAAAAUGAAUUUCCUUAGCACAGAUGCACUUUUAUACUGCCUUUUCUCCAAAAGCAUCUCAGUAUAAAACAAGUAAUCCCAAUGCUGACUUCCAAUAAUCAGUAAGAUAAGUCCAGAGAUGAAUUGUUUACUGGCAGCUGAAAUCAUAUGAAGAUGCUAAAGACAAUUGGCGAUAUGUAUGAUGAGGUCCACAUCACUUAGUGCCUACUACUGCUUUUUCUUUUGACUCUCCAAUAUAAGAGCUGAAACAGCUGGUACCCCAAAAGUGGAAGAGUCCCUUGCCCCAACAACCACUUAAAAGACAUCAAUUAGCAUCUAUUACGUAAUAAAAGGGUUCUCAAAAUAAUUAAGUUUUCCAUACUUUUAAAGCCAACCUGAAAGCUUUUAACCAACAAGGCACCUAAAGUCCUGAUGGCUGCACACCAGUCUAGCCAGUUAAUUACUCUACCAACGAUGUGUAAUGGUACUCAGUUACUCAUUCACUCAGUCAGUCCUUCAAAUACUCAAGGCGUGUUAACUAUGUACCAGGCACUGGUGCAGGAAAUACUGUGAUGAAAUAGAUGACCCUUCCUAAUAUGACAUAGCACUUCCCCGGCUUAUUAAAAUUUAAUCUCAAAAACCACAACAUUCAUUAAACUACAAUUUCCUCCAUAUCGUUUUGUUAAAAAUUUUAUGAACCACAAAUAAAACUCACUCCCAAGUUAUUACAAUACAAGUUUACUCCAAAUCUAAAUAGUAACAAUGAGAAAACAAACACGUCACAUAGUGUGUGUUCUAUAUAUGUUUAAUAGUCAUUAUGAUAAUAUGAGAUCUAAAGAAUACAGCAUUUACAAUGGUUUUCAAGCAAGAGUCUCCAAAGACACCAGGGCAAAGAGUUUAAAUACAUAGAUCCUCCUGUCCUAAUGUUUUACCAAAGCCAGAAGUUUUACUGCUAAGUUUAUUUCACUAUUUGCUGUCAUUUGCCCUCUCUGAUGAGGUCAGUUACCAUGUUGUGGCUAUCCUGUGAAGAAGACCAGAUGAAAA
Molecule: long non-coding RNA, 13425 nt
Organism: Homo sapiens (human)
Lineage: Eukaryota; Metazoa; Chordata; Mammalia; Primates; Hominidae
Exons: 3
Source: RefSeq, a predicted model, not a curated record